RNAcentral lists this ribosomal RNA (841 nucleotides) under uncultured Glomeraceae. RNAcentral describes it as "eukaryotic LSU rRNA". It matches the Rfam family "Eukaryotic large subunit ribosomal RNA", at positions 10 to 694 of the family's 3401-position model. Lineage: Eukaryota; Fungi; Glomeromycota; Glomeromycetes; Glomerales; Glomeraceae. The record is from RNAcentral.
AUCAGGUAAGAAUACCCGCUGAACUUAAGCAUAUCAAUAAGCGGAGGAAAAGAAAAUAACAAUGAUUCCCUCAGUAACGGCGAGCGAAGAGGGAUAAGCUCAAAUUUUAAAUCUGUUGGGUUUCACCUAACAGAGUUGUAUUUUGAAGAAACGUUUUCUGCGUCCAGGAUUAGCCUAAAUCCUUUGGGAUAAGGUAUCAUGGAGGGUGAGAAUCCCGUUCAUGGUUAAUCUUAAGGAUGCUCUACGAUACGUUCUCCAAGAGUCGAGUUGUUUGGGAUUGCAGCUCAAAAUGGGGGGUAAAUUUCUCCUAAGGCUAAAUAUUGGCGAGAGACCGAUAGCGAACAAGUACCGUGAGGGAAAGAUGAAAAGAACUUUGAAAAGAGAGUUAAACAGUACGUGAAAUUGUUGAAAGGGAAACGAUUGAAGUCAGUCAUACCAACGGGAAAUCAACCUCUUGAGUUUGGUCUCGUGGGUUUCUAAGAGUUUAAAAGCCUUCGGAUUUGCGAGGAUGGGCUCUUCUGGUGUACUUUUUCGUACGGUUAGUCAACAUCGGUUUUGAAUGUCAUAAAAUGACUGGAGGAAUGUGGCUUCGAUCUCGUAUUGAAGUGUUACAGCCUUUGGUAGAUGUGAUGUUCGAGACCGAGGAUUGCAACGGAUACCCUUCUGGGCUAUUCGUCUGAUCUCUGAAACGUUGCCUUGAUGUUGAAAGCUUGCUUAUGAUGUUAGGGUAUUACGGUCAAAAGGUUAGAACGGAUUAAAUUCGUUAAGGAUGUUGACGUAAUGACUUUAAACGACCCGUCUUGAAACACGGACCAAGGAGUCUAACAUAUAUGCGAGUGUU